This 73-nucleotide transfer RNA is filed under the name Diaphorina citri (Asian citrus psyllid). It matches the Rfam family "tRNA". Rfam says of the family: Transfer RNA (tRNA) molecules are approximately 80 nucleotides in length. Their secondary structure includes four short double-helical elements and three loops (D, anti-codon, and T loops). Further hydrogen bonds mediate the characteristic L-shaped molecular structure. tRNAs have two regions of fundamental functional importance: the anti-codon, which is responsible for specific mRNA codon recognition, and the 3' end, to which the tRNAs corresponding amino acid is attached (by aminoacyl-tRNA synthetases). tRNAs cope with the degeneracy of the genetic code in two manners: having more than one tRNA (with a specific anti-codon) for a particular amino acid; and 'wobble' base-pairing, i.e. permitting non-standard base-pairing at the 3rd anti-codon position. The record is from Rfam by way of RNAcentral. Lineage: Eukaryota; Metazoa; Arthropoda; Insecta; Hemiptera; Psyllidae.
GCCUAGUUAGCUUGGUUGGUAGAGCGUCUGCCUUAUAAGCGCUAGACCGCGGAUUCAAUUCUCGCCCGGGGCG